RNAcentral lists this ribosomal RNA (589 nucleotides) under uncultured Bacillota bacterium. RNAcentral's name for it is "uncultured Firmicutes bacterium partial 16S ribosomal RNA". It matches the Rfam family "Bacterial small subunit ribosomal RNA", at positions 1 to 602 of the family's 1533-position model. The record is from RNAcentral. Lineage: Bacteria; Bacillati; Bacillota.
GGCGGCCGCGGGAAUUCGAUUAGAGUUUGAUCAUGGCUCAGGACAAACGCUGGCGGGGUGCAUAAAACAUGCAAGUGGAACGGACUUCAGUCCGCAAGGACUGAAGUGAGUGGCGAACGGCUGAGUAACACGUAGGUGACCUGCCCCGAAGUUUGGGAUAACAACUCGAAAGAGUUGCUAAUACCGGAUGUGACCACCGAUUCAUUUCGGUGCUUAAAGUCGCAAGACGCUUUGGGAGGGGCCUGCGGCGGAUUAGCUAGUAGGUGUGGUAACGGCAUACCAAGGCUUCGAUCCGUAGCUGGUCUGAGAGGAUGGCCAGCCAGACUGGGAUUGAGACACGGGCCAGACUCCUACGGGAGGCAGCAGUUAGGAAUUUUGCGCAAUGGAGGAAACUCUGACGCAGCCACGCCGCGUGAGGGAUGAAGGCCUUCGGGUCGUAAACCUCUUUUCGCAGGGAAGACACCCGACGGUACCUGAGGAAUAAGCAACGGCUAAGUUCGUGCCAGCACCCGCGGUAAUACGAAUCACUAGUGAAUUCGCGGCCGCCUGCAGGUCGACCAUAUGGGAGAGCUCCCAACGCGUCGAAUGC